UCCGUAGGCGGAUAGAUAAGUCAGAGGUGAAAUCCUGCAGCUCAACUGUAGAAUUGCCUUUGAAACUGUUUAUCUUGAGUUAUUGUGAAGUGGUUAGAAUAUGUAGUGUAGCGGUGAAAUGCUUAGAGAUUACAUGGAAUACCGAUUGCGAAGGCAGAUCACUAACAAUAUACUGACGCUGAUGGACGAAAGCGUGGGGAGCGAACAGGAUUAGAUACCCUGGUAGUC
RNAcentral lists this ribosomal RNA (228 nucleotides) under uncultured bacterium. RNAcentral describes it as "partial 16S ribosomal RNA". It matches the Rfam family "Bacterial small subunit ribosomal RNA", at positions 568 to 795 of the family's 1533-position model. The record is from RNAcentral.